CUCUUUUUCAUUCUUUUUCCUUUUUGCUCCUUUGACUAAACAAUAUCAAAUGACCUCUCUCUGAGUUCACUAAUUCUUUCUUCUGCUUGACAAAAUCUGCUGCUGAAGCUCUGUAUUGAGGUUUUUGGUUUUAUUAUUAUAUUCUUGAGCUCCAGAAUUUCUGCAUGUUCUUUCUGAUAGUUUCUACCCCUUUGUUAAUAUUUCUAUCUUAUUCAUGUAUUAUUUUUCUGAUUUUGUUUAGUUGUCUGUUUUCUUGUAAUUAAUUGAGCUGCAAGAUAAUUGCAUUAAAUUAUUUGUCAGCCAAUUCACAGAUCUCAAUUUCCUUAGGGUCAUUUAACAGAGACUUGUUCUGCUGCUUUGACUGUAUCAUUGUUUCCUUAUUCUUCAUGGUCCUUGUAGCUUUGUGUUGGUGUUUGUGCAUUUGCAGAAAUAGCUACUUCUUCCACUCUUUAUAGACUGGCUCGGACAGAGGGAGACCUUCAUCCAUCAGCCUUGGGAGAUAUUCCGGGUGCUUCUCAAACCCCUUCUAUGGAUGUGUAUUUUCUGAACGAAUGCAUGGGAGUGGGAAGAAAAAGAAAAAACAAUUGUUCUCCUUGGUGUGUUGGAUCUUGGGCGGAUAAAGGAACUUCAACUCCUUCGGUGAGAUGGUAGCAGCAGAGAGGUCAGAGAGACCUUGAGGCUUUGUCUUCAGUUGAGCAUGUCAAAACACCAUAUUUUGAUGUUUCUGAGUCCCAACAUGGGAAGUAAGAAGUGUGUUCUACAUUUAGAAUAGAGAAAAAUGUAAUAAAAUUUAAGAAGUACCUACAUAUAUAAGCUACAAUUUUAUUAAAGUGCUG
This 836-nucleotide long non-coding RNA is filed under the name Papio anubis (olive baboon). Its description in RNAcentral is "lncRNA (ENSPANG00000048975.1)". The record is from RNAcentral. Lineage: Eukaryota; Metazoa; Chordata; Mammalia; Primates; Cercopithecidae.